This 253-nucleotide ribosomal RNA is filed under the name uncultured bacterium. RNAcentral describes it as "partial 16S ribosomal RNA". It matches the Rfam family "Bacterial small subunit ribosomal RNA", at positions 524 to 776 of the family's 1533-position model. The record is from RNAcentral.
UACGGGGGGGGCAAGCGUUGUUCGGAAUUACUGGGCGUAAAGGGUCUGUAGGUGGCUUGCUAAGUCAGACGUGAAAUCCCUCAGCUUAACUGGGGAACUGCGUCUGAGACUGGCGAGCUUGAGGGCAGGAGAGGAACGCGGAAUUCCCGGUGUAGUGGUGGAAUGCGUAGAUAUCGGGAGGAACACCAGUGGCGAAGGCGGUUGCCUGGAGCUUUGCUGACGCUGAUGCGCGAAAGCGUGGGGAGCGAUCCGG